UCAUUCACAUUAGUUUAAUAUGUUGAGGGAAGUUUAAUGUUACUGAUACUUUUGUGAACUUUUGUGAAGUUUGACUCUUGAUUUUUUUUAGGAAGUUCAACACUAUUGACAUUUGUUGCUAUGAGGUUGAUUAUUUGGAAGGCUUAUUCACAGUUUUUGUUUGUAUCAGAAUUUAGAAAUGCAUCCAAUGGGAAGAUGAUAGCAUCAUAAAAUUCAAGGAGCCUUUCCAAUGUUUGAUGUGAUAUGAUGAGUACUUCUGCGUCCAGAAUUUGUUCCUUGCUGAACAAGGUACCACCUUGAAGGUAGAGAGCUGGGGUGAUGGAAAAGUGAGCAUGCCAAAGGAUAUGAAAUAUAAUAUCAACAAAUGAGAAAAAAAGACUGGAUUAGAGAGACGAUGAAAAUGGAUAUCCUAGCAGCUGUCUUUUCUACAUUGAAUACACAUGUUGCCUGGUCUCUGGCAAUCAUCCAAUCAUCAUCAUGUCAGGAAGAAAUAAAUUAUAUGUCAAAAAUGAGUCUCAGGCUGUGCUAUAGAUAUUAUCACAUGGACUUUCCCCUCACCAUAUAAGACUUCUUUUCCCACUGGAGUAAUUUAAGAUCAACCCAGCACAAGACCAAUUUAUUGCAAAAAGAAUGAUUGCCUCAUGAUCCAUGGUGCUAUGCCCCACCUGGGACUUGUCAGUUCUUUACUGCACACAGCUGCCUAAGCAUCUGCCUUAGCAUCGCUAGUAUUUGCUGUCCCUUGUGCUUCUCAACUAUCUUCAGAAAGGAACGCAAUAUGAAAUCAAAAGUUCCUGCAACAUUCCCAAUUUAGAUAAACUGAAGGUUUAUAGUUCAGUGCCAAAACUCUUUUGGGCUGUUCUGGCCAAGAAUUUUUAAUAUAAGAAUAAAUCUACCCCUUGGACCAAUGAUGUUGAUGCAAAUAAUUGUUGGGUUAGGUAUAUUUUAAGGACUUAUUUUAUAUUUUUGAUUCCUAAUAGUAUUUUAUAGUAAGAAGAUUUUUGUCUUAGCCCCAUGAAAUUCUCUUUUUGAAUUCAUAAAUGACCAAAUCAUUUUCUUUAUUUUGUCUCCAAACUUCCAGACUUCUCAUAGUUCUUUUCACCUCUCUAUCUUGCCUCUCCCAGACCUCUGGCCUGAUAUUCUAUAAUGUUUUUAUUUGUGAUUUCUUUCCACUAUCCUAGCCUUUAUGAACAAAUAAUCAAUUUGAUGACUUAGAAGAACUCAGUUAAUAACUCAAAUACAUCUUAUUAAUUAAAUUACAAUUGGGCAUGCGUCAUUCUUAAAUCUAAGAUGAAUAAUUGAAUUAAAUGCAAUUUUGAUAAUGUUUAAAAGUGAAGCCACCAGUUACAAAAUGGUGAUAAUCUUUUGGAGCCACAUAGCAGUAAAUAUGUGACUGUAAACACGUUCUACAUGACUAAAAAGCUCCUGACCCUGUCAAUGUGGGAGGACAUAAAAAGCAAUAUUCUGCAAUGAGUGGUGCUCACUCUAAUCCAGUGUUUCCCAAACUAUUUUUUUCAUUAUCACUGUGUCAGGAAAAUUUUGAGAUUUUUAACCUAAUCAACCACCCCAGAAAUUUUAAUCCUAUAUUGCAUAUGUGUAUAUGUACUGUAUGCAUAUCUGCACCUUCUAAAUAAAAAAGCUAAAAUUAUUUCUACUCCUAAAAGCCAAUUCAUCCCCUUUGGUGGUAUCUUCUUUACUUAGAAUUUAUGCACUCAUGUAAACUUAGGAUAUGCUAGGACAUAAAGUUCUAUCUCCAAAUCCAGAUAAUAUAGAGUCAAAGAUUUUUUGUUAUACUGUGUGUAACUGGGCUGUGGGAAAUGUAGCAAUUACACAGGUGACAGAGGCAGAUGGUACUGUAAGAACUAUCAGGCCAUGGCACUAACCUUGUAAAGUAUAGGAAAACAAUUACAAAGAUCAACAAAAUUAACCCCAAUAUAAAUCCUCCUGGACUACAAGACAGGUGAGUAGUUUCAUAUCAAAACAUCUGAUCUGGCUAUUGUUUGAUUUUGUAUGUAUAUAUAAAGGAAAAUCCUAAGACAUCUCUGAAUGUUCUAUCAAAUUAUUUAUUUUAGCAACCAGAAGACAGUAGUCUAUGAGAAUUAAUAAUCUAUAAACACAGAAACUAUAGGCAUGACUUCUUCACAUUUUAUUGUUCAAGGGAUAGAUAAGUGGAGAUGAGAUUCCAGCAGAGUGUAAUUUCAGUGUCCUGAAUGACUGGGAAAUAUUGCCUUAGAGGCUGGAAAGCCAACUUGGCCAGCAUCUACUGACAUUCACCUGUUUUGUCUUUACCUUUUGUCAGCAGGGACUUCAUUUGGGUAAUGCUUACACAGUCAGAGUCGGCCAACAUCUAGUGAGCUACUAUCUCAAACCUAGAUAUUCACUGAAAGAGAGACAGGAAAGGCAAUUCUACCUUCAGAAAAAAGCAAUAUGGAGUUAAAAGAACAUCAUGCAAGAAAAUGAGAAAGAAACCUUUUUCCAUAGUGAAAAAUACUUUUCAGCUAAAAGAAAAUUCUUAGAAUUUUUGAAGUCCAUUUUAAUUAUUGUAUUUCUUCUAAGUUAGAUAAUGGCAAUGUGGCCUUGUUAAUCAAAAGUCAUUGAACAGCUAGAUAUUAGCUGUUUCCUAUUAAGAAAAAAAUUAAGAUGUUAGUUCAGAGGCUGCUCGUACAUAGCCAUCAGGGAAUUAAAUUGUUUUCAUGUAUAAUUAAAAAGUGUGUUCUUCCAUCAAGAAGAAAGCUACAGCUUGCAUGCCAGUAAGUACUUAAUUGGAAAGAAAAUGGACCAAAUAGAACAAUUCUACUAUGAGAAAGAAAAGUUGUGAGAACUACAUCUGCAAUAAAUAAAUAUAUUAAUUACUCUCCUAUUACUUUGAGUGUCUGUAUAUUAAGAAUCCAGGCCAGGCGCGGUGGCUCAU
This 2908-nucleotide long non-coding RNA is filed under the name Homo sapiens (human). RNAcentral's name for it is "HSALNT0045186". Lineage: Eukaryota; Metazoa; Chordata; Mammalia; Primates; Hominidae. The record is from RNAcentral.